AAUGCAGCCAUUAUAGCAGGCCAUGAGGAGGAUGUUGGGAAAAGGACAUCCGUUUAUGUGCACACAGCACAUUCCUUAAUCCAGUCCCUCAUGGUACACAAAAAGAGAGGUUUCAAACAGAUUCCUACUGACAAGGACAUUAAAUAUGUUCUAAUCCCUGAGGGUCCAAGAGACUACAGCUUUCUUGAGUCCCUUAUGAAGAAUAGAAGAAUACCAUCAGGAGCAUAUCGUGGACGAACGCCAAGAAACAGAAAAGUUGCAGAAUUAACCACACAGAGUUGCAGUUACCAAACGAGAAGCUCCACACUUUUUUUUUGGAGUGUACAUACACUGGCAGCUCCGAAGGCUGCUCAAAAUGCCAUAGGGUUUUUACAUAGGGUCUUUAUCUUAUUUUUAAUUUAAAUAAAAUGCAGUUUUCUUACCGGCCAAUGGUGAUUCUGAAAUAAACAUGCCAGGAUCCUACUGUUAGGUAUAUACUAAUAGGGAAACUACUACUGUAACGAACACAACUUUUAUGCACAUGAGAUUGCCAGAUAAACAGAGCAGUCUUAUUUCGGUGUUCUUAUUAAUGUUGUGGUGAUUUCAGAAGUUAGCUUCGCACAUUCAAUUUAACAUCAAG
Molecule: long non-coding RNA, 619 nt
Organism: Sinocyclocheilus grahami
Lineage: Eukaryota; Metazoa; Chordata; Actinopteri; Cypriniformes; Cyprinidae
Exons: 3
Source: RefSeq, a predicted model, not a curated record